This is a long non-coding RNA of Mauremys mutica (yellowpond turtle), 1882 nucleotides long. RefSeq lists it as uncharacterized. The record is from RefSeq and is a predicted model, not a curated record. The transcript has 3 exons. Lineage: Eukaryota; Metazoa; Chordata; Testudines; Geoemydidae.
AAGCAUGUAUUACACUCUACGACUUAUGCUCUGCAUCUCUGUAGUGAGUCGGUGUGGCUCCCCUCCUGCCCAGCAGAGGGAGCGGCCUUACAGUGAGCGGAGCCACCGCCGCCUGUUCCCGCCCCCUGGAAGUCAAGGGGCGGGACAGGAAGUAUAAAAGCCAGCCGCCAGAGCUCAGUCAGGCCCUGGCCACCCCAGGGAGCAGACGUGCUGCCAGGAGCUUGAGACUGGGAAACCUCCAGGACCCGGGGCAGCCACCCAGAUUGGCCAGAGCUUCCCCGCACCCACUACCCAGAGGAGCCCCCAGAGCUUCGCCGUGCCUUCUACCCGGAGGAGCCGCUGGAGCCUCCCUGCCCCUGCUGCUACCCGGAGGAGCCGCCCGAGCACGCCUGGCCGGACUUCCCCGAGGAGCUGCCGGACCUGCCACCAAGCCCUGGCCGAGAGGAGCCCAUGCUGGUGGACUGGCCUGGGACCGAUGCCACGGACCAGGAACACCGGGGACCGGCCCGGAGCAGACGGCGCGUAGUGAGUUGGUGUGACUCCCCUCCGCCCUCGGGAGGGUCGAGCCCCGGCACGCACGUCUUACAAUCUCCUUGUUGGUGAGGAGACCUGGCUGGCAGACUGAGCCUCUGUUUGUCCCCUCAUCUUACUGUCACCUCCUAGCAAUAUCUAGCUGUAGCACACUGGCUGCACACAAUCUGCAAAGGUAAAAGUUGCAGGAAACCUCCCCAUGUUUCCUCCACCAAUAUAAACACAUAUGCACAAAUGCUCCUUUCCGACAAGGAAGUGUUUUCCACACAGCUGAGAAAAUGCCACGGAACCACCCAGUAAGGGGCAGGCCUAGGGGAAUCCUGCAAGCUGAGUUCCUGGCAGAUGGAAAGGCCAGCUCUUCAGGGAAUAGGAGAGAGCCCCAUUUGAAGAGGUGCCUAUAAAAUAAGGAGAAAUACUAAGAGGCUGCUUCUUUUGUAAUGACUUCCAACGGCCUAAAUCUGACGCUAACAAGAUGCGCUGAGAAGCCAUCAGCAAUUCUCUCUUCCUUUUCCUCCACCCCGCUUUGAGCUGAGAAUGCUGGGCUGAAGAGAGGACAUAUCGGCACGCUAUUGCUCAGGGAAGGGACAGCAGGUUCUUGAUCUUCAUAUUAAAUUCCUGGAGACUGUCAGGCAACAAGAUAAAGAAAUAUGAGCUCAGUUAAAGCCCUGCUACUUCAAUGAACACAUUUUGAAACUGAGCAACCUAGUAUAUGGAACUUAUAAACUCCACACAACCACUCGAAGUUUAUAAACUCUGCAGAGACAUCAGGGCUCUAUCAGAGGUUCAGUUAUUUAUUGUAGAUAUCACCAAGAUUAAUGAAGUCCCUGUCUACAUUAAGGAAAUUGGCACUAAUGUAAUUACCUGGAUGUAGUUACAAAAGUACAAACUUCCUUAAUAUAGACAGCUGUUUUUGUAAAAAUGAAUCUCGCACUAGAUCUCACUGAAGUAAAGACAAUGAAUAAAACAAAUGUGGAGAUUACAGACCAAGUGGGUGUUCCCCCUGCCCCACCUAAAUACAUACAUACAUACAUAAAAAAUAGAAAACUUUUCAAAAAGUUAAAGCCUUAUUUUUCUGUUUAAUUAGCGUAUCACCAAAAUACCUUUUAUCAAAUUACAUUUAACUUGCCCCAAACACUCUCCUAUGGCAAGAAAUUGCAGUAGGAAAAGAUAUUUUGAGAAAGUUAGAGUUGAAAAUUCAGGUUUGAAUGGAAAUUCACUGUUGUAAUCCUGGCCAUUUGUGGUGUUUAGAUAUGUUUGUAAUUGUUAGAACUGGGAGCACUGGCUGUUGGGAGUCUGAAAGGACAGGAAACAGGAAGGAGGGGGGAGGAGUCGAGGAGGCUGAGUGAGAGUU